UUUCUUGGCAUAUUCCUCUUGCUACACUCAUUUUAGUUCAGUUUUCUUGUUUAGUAUUCAUAUCAUGGGUUAGGUGGGACAUGUUCCAUGAACAGAAAGUUGCAUUGUUCUCGUGUGCUAGAUGAGCUGUAGGAUCAUUUAAACUUCUUGUAUUCCUAUUUGAGAUUAUGUCUCCUGGCAGUUUGAGCUUCACAUCUUGCUUUCUCUCAUUUGAUGCAUUCUUUUUAGCAUACCAUAUUCUAUUAUUGCUUCGUUCUGUUGCAGUCUUCAAAAAAAAUUGCAUUGUCAAGAAGUUCCUUCUAAGUUAACCAUUUCGUGUGAGCGAGAGAAUCUUAUUCCUGAGUUUCUUGUUCCAUUCUGACUUGCUCUA
Molecule: long non-coding RNA, 370 nt
Filed under: Phoenix dactylifera (date palm)
Lineage: Eukaryota; Viridiplantae; Streptophyta; Magnoliopsida; Arecales; Arecaceae
Description: long non-coding RNA (PDAC_LNC002124)
Source: RNAcentral